This 507-nucleotide ribosomal RNA is filed under the name uncultured bacterium. Its description in RNAcentral is "partial 16S ribosomal RNA". It matches the Rfam family "Bacterial small subunit ribosomal RNA", at positions 28 to 523 of the family's 1533-position model. The record is from RNAcentral.
GAUGAUCGCUAGCUACAGGCUUAACACAUGCAAGUCGAGGGGCAGCGGGAUUGAAGCUUGCUUCAAUUGCCGGCGACCGGCGCACGGGUGAGUAACGCGUAUCCAACCUUCCGCUUACUCGGGGAUAGCCGUUCGAAAGAAAGAUUAAUACCCGAUGGUAUCUUAAGCACGCAUGAGAUUAAGAUUAAAGAUUUAUCGGUAAGCGAUGGGGAUGCGUUCCAUUAGGCAGUUGGCGGGGUAACGGCCCACCAAACCUACGAUGGAUAGGGGUUCUGAGAGGAAGGUCCCCCACAUUGGAACUGAGACACGGUCCAAACUCCUACGGGAGGCACCAGUGAGGAAUAUUGGUCAAUGGGCGAGAGCCUGAACCAGCCAAGUAGCGUGAAGGAUGACGGCCCUACGGGUUGUAAACUUCUUUUGUGCGGGAAUAAAGGAACCUACGUGUAGGUUUUUGCAUGUACCGUAACGAAUAAGCAUCGGCUAACUCCGUGCCAGCAGCCGCCGUAA